AUACGGAGGAUGCAAGCGUUAUCCGGAUUUAUUGGGUUUAAAGGGUGCGUAGGCGGUUUGCUAAGCGGGAGGUGAAAUGCCGGCGCUCAACGUCGGAAGUGCCUCCCGAACUGGUGGACUUGAAUGACUCUGCCGUGGGAGGCAUGUGUAGUGUAGCGGUGAAAUGCUUAGAGAUUACACAGAACACCGAUUGCGAAGGCAUCUCACGAAGGGUUGAUUGACGCUGAGGCACGAAAGCGUGGGGAUCAAACAGGAUUAGAUACCCUGGUAGUCCACGCAGUAAACGAUGAUGGCUAACCGCUGGGCUUAUCAGUUCAGUGGCCAAGCGAAAGCGAUAAGCCAUCCACCUGGGGAGUACGACCGCAAGGUUGAAACUCAAAUGAAUUGGCGGGG
RNAcentral lists this ribosomal RNA (393 nucleotides) under uncultured bacterium. RNAcentral describes it as "partial 16S ribosomal RNA". It matches the Rfam family "Bacterial small subunit ribosomal RNA", at positions 523 to 918 of the family's 1533-position model. The record is from RNAcentral.